This 468-nucleotide ribosomal RNA is filed under the name uncultured bacterium. RNAcentral describes it as "partial 16S ribosomal RNA". It matches the Rfam family "Bacterial small subunit ribosomal RNA", at positions 28 to 507 of the family's 1533-position model. The record is from RNAcentral.
GACGAACGCUGGCGGCGUGCUUAACACAUGCAAGUCGAACGGAAAGGCCCUGCUUUUGUGGGGUGCUCGAGUGGCGAACGGGUGAGUAACACGUGAGUAACCUGCCCUUGACUUUGGGAUAACUUCAGGAAACUUGGGCUAAUACCGGAUAGGAUCUCCUGCUGCAUGGUGGGGGUUGGAAAGUUUCGGCGGUUGGGGACGGGCUCGCGGGUUAUCAGCUUGUUGGUGGGGUAGUGGCUUACCAAGGCUUUGCCGGGUAGCCGAGCUGCGAGGGGGAGCGGAGAAAUUGGGACUGAGAUACGGCACAGACUGGAACGGGAGGCAGGAGAGGAGAAUAUAACAGAAUGGGAGGAAGCCUGAUGCAGAAAAGCCGCGUGCGGGAUGACGGCCUUGGGGUUGUAAACCGAAUUCGCCUGAGACGAAGCGAGAGUGACGGUAAUGGGUAAAGAAGCACCGGCUAACUACGUG